Papaver somniferum (opium poppy) is the source of this 991-nucleotide long non-coding RNA. RefSeq lists it as uncharacterized. Lineage: Eukaryota; Viridiplantae; Streptophyta; Magnoliopsida; Ranunculales; Papaveraceae. The record is from RefSeq and is a predicted model, not a curated record. The transcript has 3 exons.
UACAAUUAUUUAGAUUCAAUCAUGACCCAGCUUUGGUCUCACUAGCAUAUGGAUGAAUUUCUAAAUUAUUGCUACGAAAACUACCAUGAAAUUGGGAGAAAUUAGGACUUAGCCAGGGCGAUCUCCAAAUCUUAGCAUGCUUUUAUUCCGGGCAGUUCUAUCUUUGAUGCUAUUGUGCUUACUAAUGACAUUUUUCAUUCUUUUAAGAACAAGUCAGGUGUGAAAGGUUGGAUGGCAUUAAAGUUGGAUUUCGACAAGGCCUACGAUAGAGUGUUACUCAAUGGGUCUCCUAUUAAGUCUUUUUGUCCCUGUAAGGGAUUGAGGCAGGGAACCCUCUCUCUCCAUAUUUGUUUAUUAUGGUGUUAGAGGUUUUCUCUAGACUAAUUGAGAAGCACAUUGCUGAUAAGAGUCUGGCUGGGUUUAGUAUUGCUAGAGAAGCUCCUAAAGUUACCCAUUGUUUAUAUGACGAUGAUAAUUUAGUUUUCUUGAAGGCUAAUCAUUCUAAUGCUAUGAAUCCUAGGUAUGUUCUUAACAAGUUUUGCAGGUGGUCUGGACAAGAGUGAAUCUUAACAAAUCUACUCUUAUUACUUCUGCAAACGUUAAAAAGAGAGAUGGUAGGGCUCUUGCUUCCACUAUUGGUGUCAAAUUCAGUCCUAAUCCAGGUAAGUACUUGGGUGUCCCUAUGCAGUGGGGUAGAUUAAGUUAUGAUAUGUUUUCUAGCAUUGUUGAUAAAGUGGAAGCUAGGAUGCAGGGCUGAAAAGGUAGCACUAGUACAAAUCUUCACAUUCGCCACGCUUAAUCACCGUGUCCAUAGGCGUUUGGUCAUGGAUUUUUUUCACUCCAAAAAUGUGGCAUCAGGUGUCGUGACAAACAGUGUUUGAGUCAGCAUCAUGUUCAUCAGGGUCUGAAAGUGGCUGGCCCUGCAGCAAGCAAGUGGAUGUAUAAUUAGGGAACAAACCAUGAUAACAGUUAUAUGCUCAGGAUGCAUAAG